Molecule: long non-coding RNA, 577 nt
Organism: Caretta caretta (loggerhead turtle)
Lineage: Eukaryota; Metazoa; Chordata; Testudines; Cheloniidae
Source: RefSeq, a predicted model, not a curated record
GGCAUGAUGGGAGUCUGGCUAAGGCAAAGCAUCAUGGGAGUCUGGCUAAAGCAAAGCAUCAUGGGAGCUAGGUGUCAGCUGGGAGCCUGGCUAAGUGCCUAGAGGGUCCUACCCAAGCUCGGGGAGUCAUUGUGCUAGCUGCCGCACAGACACAUAGUAAAAGACGGUGCCUGCUCCGAAGAAUUUGCAAACGAAAUAGGCAAGACAGACAAAGGUUGAGAGAGGACACAGAGGAGUGAAGUGACUUGUCCAACAUCACACAGAAGAUCAGCGGCAGAACCAGGAAUAGAACCCAGGUGGCCUGGGUCCCUGUCCAUCGCCUUAACAUGGAUGUCAUUACUGUGCCCAUUACUAGGCUCAUUCUAUUGCCUGGAAUUGAAAGGGGCCACAGGAAAUCAGAUUUUGGAGCUGUUGCCACGAACAGCUGACCCCAUUGAUUUCUAUGGAUUUAAGUCUGCUGACACUUGUAAACAGAACUGAAUUGAGGACCACAGCAGAAAGAAACCAAAACAAUGGAAAUUCAUUCCAGAGAAGUCACUCCUUCUAGAUGCAUUCCCUGUCCUGGCAAUAUGCCUUG